Long non-coding RNA from Clupea harengus (Atlantic herring), 1579 nucleotides. RefSeq lists it as uncharacterized. The record is from RefSeq and is a predicted model, not a curated record. NCBI's taxonomy places the organism in Eukaryota, Metazoa, Chordata, Actinopteri, Clupeiformes, Clupeidae.
CCCAUAAAGUAGGCUACGAACUGUGUGUGCUUAUCUAAAUCGUUCGGAAGUCCGUAGAGAACAUGAGUCACACAGACACAGACGGACGGACAGACGCCACACACAGAUCUAUAGCAGGCGGCAAGUGGUUCUGGGACAGAGGUGGCCCAGUGCUGGCGCAGAUCCAGACAUCACAGCCCCACAGAAGCCUGGUACCUUUACCCAGAUGGCUGCAGGCUCCACAGCAGAUCCAGUCUGGUGGUUGAAUCUAUUGCAUCUGUGCCACACAGAUCAGUGUCUGACACGGUUGAGUGAGCCGGAGGAUAAACCACACUCGACUUACUGUAACUGAGGAACUGGAUCUGGCAGCCAUUACUCUCCACGUUCUGCCUCAAGACUCUCCAUUUUGUUGUGUUCAGGGGAGGCGUGCACAUUCACCGUGACCUUCCAGUCCAUCUCAUUUUAUUAGCACAUGACCUUGGUGAGCCUGAACGCCCGCCACCUCCUCCUAUCAUUGUCAAUCAUUGGAUGGAGUUUUCGUCAUCUCCGAGAGACAGGACACACUAUGCAGAAUGAAUAUGCACUGGGUGUUAUCUCCUCGCAGUAUUAGAUCAGGCUGAGGAGGGAGAAAGGGUGGGGUGGGGGGGGGGUCUCACUAUUGUCAUGUAAAUUAUCCUUCAAGGCACUCUGCUGUCUGCCGGAUGGCAUCUUGUUAUUAUGAGCUAUAAGGAACAGCUUGUUCUAGGACAAGGAGAGAGAGAGAGAGAGAGAGAGAAAGAGAGGGAGAAAGAGAAAGAGAUGCUCAUCUGUAUGAAAUGUGUUCAUAUGUCAGGCCUCUUCCUAGGACUUUUGGCCGCCCUGCUGGCCAUUCUGUGCAUGACAUUACCUUGUGGUCCGUUUUAGUUUUGCUUUACCAUGUGCUUUUUGCUUGUUUUUGUGGAUCAUGUGCUUUUGUUUGUGUUUUGUUAUUCCAUGUGCUCCUGACCCCACCCUUUACCUGCUGUGUUCUACUCCCUGCCAUUUCCUGCAUUCACAGGGUCACGUUCUAUCUUUAUUUACCCCCUUCUCUGUUUGUCCCAGAUUGUCCCAGCCUUUUGAUUGUGUCCAUCUAGCCGUUUGUCCUGUUUUGUGUUCUGUAUCAUGCCUUUUUCUGGUUUGGGGAUUUUGCCUGCUGUUUUGGGUUGUUUGUCUGCCUGUGUUCCUGUUUCUCAGUUUGAGCUUUGCCUGCUCCUGGACUACUCUUUGUGACUGCGAUCUUGAUUGUCCAGCUUUUGUUGGGCAGCCAUCUUGAGCCCUGUUUGUUUUUCCUGUGAGACUGGAGAAUCUUGUGUUGAGAUGAGUCAUUCUCUCUCUUUCUCUCAUUAUGACAUCACAUCUCACGUGUCCAUCUGUAUGACAUGUCUCAAAUGGAGAAGAACAGUUCAGCCUUUAAAGUGGUUGGAGAGGAAAUGUUUAGUAGAACACAGUUGAUGGAAGAACACCUCAGAGCACAGAGAGGUUGUGGAUGUCGCAGAGUUGCAUCUAUGAUUCAGCUGUGUUUCUAAAGAAAGGAAAGGCUCAAGAAUAAUAAUGAUAAUAAAGCUCUCCUUUACGUGUGAAA